GGAAGGAUGGCAGAGCGGUUGAAUGCGUCUGAUUCGAAAUCAGAUUACACGGCAACGUGUACGGGGGUUCGAAUCCCUCUCCUUCCG
Molecule: transfer RNA, 87 nt
Filed under: Candidatus Similichlamydia laticola
Lineage: Bacteria; Pseudomonadati; Chlamydiota; Chlamydiia; Parachlamydiales; Candidatus Parilichlamydiaceae
Rfam family: tRNA
About the family: Transfer RNA (tRNA) molecules are approximately 80 nucleotides in length.
Source: Rfam by way of RNAcentral